RNAcentral lists this long non-coding RNA (271 nucleotides) under Arabidopsis lyrata. RNAcentral describes it as "long non-coding RNA (ALYR_LNC000503)". The record is from RNAcentral. Lineage: Eukaryota; Viridiplantae; Streptophyta; Magnoliopsida; Brassicales; Brassicaceae.
AAAGAUGAUAUAUAUGACUGGAAUGCAUAUCCUGAAGAUGAUGAUUCCAGGGGGAGAAUGUGAUUAUGUGCGUGGUUGUACUCUUUUUCUCUUAUCAUGGUUUUUAUCCCAUUGGGGUUUUCCAUGAAAGGUUUUUAACGAGACAACAAAGAACACGCGAAUGAUAGACACCUAAAGAGAAAUGUUGUGAUUCCAAUGAUGAAAGACUAUUGUUAUUCAAGGUCUUUAACAUACAUUGAUGAGAUCGUGAGAAACAAAGAUAAUGAUCAAG